Molecule: unclassified non-coding RNA, 1552 nt
Filed under: Daphnia magna
Lineage: Eukaryota; Metazoa; Arthropoda; Branchiopoda; Diplostraca; Daphniidae
Description: alkylated DNA repair protein alkB homolog 8, transcript variant X2
Source: RNAcentral
CCAAGUCAUAAAAAAAAAAAGAUAGUAGUCUUCUACUUCGUUGUAUGUGGUAGUACAUAACUAGUUAUACAGUUAUACUUGCACCCCUUAGAAAUAAAUACAAUUAUAACAACUAACAUCAAUAAUAAAUGAAGAAAGUGACUGAAAAGAAAGUAGCUAGAAAAGUGGCAAAGUUUUUUGCGAAUGUGUCAAAUGAUGUAUCAAACACUUUUAUAGGUAUAGGGAAUUCUUCACCGUCACGUUUUCUGUGCUUGAUUAAUGCAGGUUUAUUGAAUGGAUUUACGAGAGAAGAAAUAUUUGAUAUUUUUAUUGGUUUUGGGGAAAUUGAAAAUUUGGUAAUGAUUGAAAGAAAAUCAUAUUGCAUUCUCAGCUUUAAGAAUGAAUGUGCUGCAGCAGAAAGCUAUGAGAAGCUAAAUGGAAGUUUUUGCCUGAAAGGUGAAACAAAAGUACUGUACCUGUCCUACCUUGAAAAAUUUCCCACAAACAUGAUUGACUUGAAAGAGAGUCCAAAGGUAUGGCCAAGUGGGCUGAAAUUAAAGGAAAACUUUAUAUCUGAAGAAGAAGAAGAAAAAUUACUUGAUUUAACUGUGUCUGAUCCACAGACAUUGCAGCUCAAACAUAGAACAGUGAAGCAUUAUGGAUUUGAAUUCAAGUAUGGUAGCAAUAAAGUUGAUCGAAACCCAUUGCCUAAUGCUAUACCUGAAGAAAUGGAGCCAAUCAUAAAAAAAUUUGUGGAACUUGGCAUCACCAGACCAAAUCAAUUGACAGUUAAUCACUAUGCACCUGGGCAAGGAAUACCUCUUCAUACUGACACUCAUAGUUCUUUUGAGGAUGGAAUUAUUAGCAUCUCCCUUUGUUCUGAUAUUGUGAUGGACUUCAUGAGUAAUGAUGAUGGUCGGCGAGUAAGCAUCGUUUUACCAAGGCGGUCGUGCUUGAUUAUUAGCCAAGAAUCAAGAUACUCCUGGAGUCACGGUAUAACGCCACGGAAAUAUGAUGUAACUCAAGCUGCCGAUAACGGAUUAACUGUUAUACGACGAGAAAACCGGACGUCUUUGACUUUUCGCAAAGUCCGCACAUCCAAAUGUGAUUGCACAUUCUCCAGAUGGUGUGAUUCACAAUUAGAAGACUCUGCUGAUCUCUCAGAAAAAACCGCUGACAACAUUGAAAGAAAACAUGUUUUUCAUGUUUAUGAUGAAAUUGCUUCGCACUUCAGUGAAACCAGACAUUGGCUGUGGAAAUGGGAAAUACCUUACGUGUUCGCAGUCACUUUUCAGCAUUGGAACCGAUCGAUCAAAGCAACUACUAAAUGGUUUAGUUCUGUAGGAAACGUGGCUAUCAAGUUGUCAACGCUGAUUGUCGUGCUUCUCCUUUUCGUGAUGAUAUAGCUGACGCUGCUAUAUGUAUCGCUGUAAUUCAUCAUUUGGCUACCGAAGACCGUCGUUUGCAGACACUCCAGGACAUUAGCCGCAUUCUACGUAAGGGUGGUCGAGCUCUGGUGUAUGUCUGGGCCAAAGAGCAAGAAAUAGGAACAAGAAAAUCAACAUAUUUACUG